Molecule: long non-coding RNA, 1169 nt
Organism: Oreochromis niloticus (Nile tilapia)
Lineage: Eukaryota; Metazoa; Chordata; Actinopteri; Cichliformes; Cichlidae
Exons: 3
Source: RefSeq, a predicted model, not a curated record
UGUCCUUUUUUCAAAGUCAGUCUUUAUUUCAAAAUCCCGUUUUUCCCAAUGGCCUAUUUAUUUCAUAAUGCAACUUUUCAGCAGAAUGACUUUGUCUGUCAAUCAGUGUGAGUGGGCUGGACCUUUGCGCCUAUUGGCUGAUCGUUUACUGUCGACUAGUUUUCCUGGAUACCUGCUCUGCGGACGGCUGCUACAGGUAGCAAAAACGUGCUAGGUCAAAAGUCACGGAGGAUGGCGGACUGGUGUGAACAAUUCUGCUCAUUUUAGCAGAUCAGAUAGAGAGGGAUCAUUUACCUGUAGAUACUGUUUUGAGUCGUUUAGAUGAUGUUUCUGAAAUGCUUGGGAUGAUAAUUGCUCUUCAAGAUGUUAGCAUCGAUGACAACAUUGUCGAAAGUUUAAGAUCAAUUCAGCACUGUGUUUGUUUGGAAUACGCCGAGGAAGAACAGUCUUAAAAUAUUGGUCGUCCACGUCUUGAAAUCCUGGUGCAGCACUCAGGACUUUAGUGCUGUCCGGGAUAACCAUCGGGGUAAUUGCCGAUAUGUUUUCUGUGUGUCCGAGCACAAUUAGGAGGAGAAUGACGGAGGAAGGUCUAAGAAAAUCUGAUAGGUAUUCUUCUAUUGGAGAUGAGGACUUGGAUGCAAAAGUGCUGGACAUUCAGCGUCAUCACCCAAAUGCCGGCUGCAGAAUGAUGAUGGGACAUCUACGAUCCAGAGGCAUACACAUUCAAAGAUUUCGACUGAUGGAUUCAAUGAGACGAGUCAAUCCAGAAGGGGUCGUGAUGCGAUGGUUGUCUAUUCAGACUGCAAGGCGUCAUCAGUACAGUGUACCAGCACCAAAUCACCUUUGGUAUAUCGAUGGAAAUCAUAAACUAAUUCGGUCAGUACUUGCAUCACCUUUUCCCUAUUCCAUUGAAGUAACAGGAUGCAUGUAUAAAAUUGUAAAAUGGAGCCUUGAGUUUGUAAAUGUCAUCUUAAAUGCUGUCAUAUAAGGCCAUUUACAGGAUUAGCUAUGGUCAUGUCUGAGGCUUUACAUUAUGCAUGUGAUUCCUUGCACUACAGAUCUUUCUGUAAAGUGUUUAAGUUUCCCUUCUAUUAUUUCUUUUACAUUCCUGUUAUAACAUGUUGUCAUUUUAUAUGGAACUAAAAUAUUGGUCUUGCUUUUUCCUUUAA